CAAGGUUAAAACUCAAAUGAAUUGACGGGGGCCCGCACAAGCGGUGGAGCAUGUGGUUUAAUUCGAUGCAACGCGAAGAACCUUACCUACUCUUGACAUCCAGAGAACUUUCCAGAGAUGGAUUGGUGCCUUCGGGAACUCUGAGACAGGUGCUGCAUGGCUGUCGUCAGCUCGUGUUGUGAAAUGUUGGGUUAAGUCCCGCAACGAGCGCAACCCUUAUCCUUUGUUGCCAGCGGUUCGGCCGGGAACUCAAAGGAGACUGCCAGUGAUAAACUGGAGGAAGGUGGGGAUGACGUCAAGUCAUCAUGGCCCUUACGAGUAGGGCUACACACGUGCUACAAUGGCGUAUACAAAGAGAAGCGACCUCGCGAGAGCAAGCGGACCUCAUAAAGUACGUCGUAGUCCGGAUUGGAGUCUGCAACUCGACUCCAUGAAGUCGGAAUCGCUAGUAAUCGUAGAUCAGAAUGCUACGGUGAAUACGUUCCCGGGCCUUGUACACACCGCCCGUCACACCAUGGGAGUGGGUUGCAAAAGAAGUAGGUAGCUUAA
RNAcentral lists this ribosomal RNA (549 nucleotides) under Serratia nematodiphila. RNAcentral describes it as "bacterial SSU rRNA". It matches the Rfam family "Bacterial small subunit ribosomal RNA", at positions 889 to 1438 of the family's 1533-position model. The record is from RNAcentral. Lineage: Bacteria; Pseudomonadati; Pseudomonadota; Gammaproteobacteria; Enterobacterales; Yersiniaceae.